This 408-nucleotide ribosomal RNA is filed under the name Escherichia coli. Its description in RNAcentral is "partial 23S ribosomal RNA". It matches the Rfam family "Bacterial large subunit ribosomal RNA", at positions 2000 to 2406 of the family's 2925-position model. Lineage: Bacteria; Pseudomonadati; Pseudomonadota; Gammaproteobacteria; Enterobacterales; Enterobacteriaceae. The record is from RNAcentral.
UGUAACCAUGGCCAUGCUGUCUCCACCCGAGACUCAGUGAAAUCGAAUUCGCCGUGAAGAUGCGGUGUACCCGCGGCUAGACGGAAAGACCCCGUGAACCUUUACUACAGCUUGGCACUGAACAUUGAACCUACAUGUGUAGGAUAGGUGGGAGGCUUUGAAGGCGUGACGCCAGUUGCGCUGGAGCCGUCCUUGAAAUACCACCCUUGUAUGUUUGAUGUUCUAACGCAGGGCCCUGAAUCGGGCUCGCGGACAGUGCCUGGUGGGUAGUUUGACUGGGGCGGUCUCCUCCCAAAGAGUAACGGAGGAGCACGAAGGUUGGCUAAUCCUGGUCGGACAUCAGGAGGUUAGUGCAAUGGCAUAAGCCAGCUUAACUGCGAGACGGACAGGUCGAGCAGGUACGAAAGU